Small nuclear RNA from Oncorhynchus nerka (sockeye salmon), 200 nucleotides. RefSeq annotates it as U2 spliceosomal RNA. The record is from RefSeq and is a predicted model, not a curated record. NCBI's taxonomy places the organism in Eukaryota, Metazoa, Chordata, Actinopteri, Salmoniformes, Salmonidae. The transcript has a single exon.
AAUUUUUCACUGUGUUUGAUGGAAAAGUUCAAUAAAAGCUUUGAAUCAUCUGUUCUUAUAAGUUUAAUAUCUGAUACGUCCCCCUUCGGGGGACUACAUAUUAAAUAGAUUUUUCGAACGGGGAGUCGGUAAUGGGGCUUGCUCCGUCUGCUCCAUGCAUCGACCUGGUUUUGCAGUACUUCAGGAACGGUGCAACACUU